CGCCAGACUCCUACGGGAGGCAGCAGUCGGGAAUAUUGCGCAAUGGAGGAAACUCUGACGCAGUGACGCCGCGUAUAGGAAGAAGGUUUUCGGAUUGUAAACUAUUGUCGUUAGGGAAGAUAAAAGACAGUACCUAAGGAGGAAGCUCCGGCUAACUACGUGCCAGCAGCCGCGGUAAUACGUAGGUGGCAAGCGUUAUCCGGAUUUAUUGGGUGUAAAGGGAGCGUAGGCGGGCUUGUAAGUUGAAUGUCUAAUCCACCGGCUCAACCGGUGAUCGCGUUCAAAACUGCAGGUCUUGAGUGAAGUAGAGGCAGGCGGAAUUCCUAGUGUAGCGGUGAAAUGCGUAGAUAUUAGGAGGAACACCAGUGGCGAAGGCGGCCUGCUGGGCUUUAACUGACGCUGAGGCUCGAAAGCGUGGGGAGCAAACAGGAUUAGAUACCCCAGUAUAC
This 449-nucleotide ribosomal RNA is filed under the name uncultured bacterium. RNAcentral describes it as "bacterial SSU rRNA". It matches the Rfam family "Bacterial small subunit ribosomal RNA", at positions 329 to 795 of the family's 1533-position model. The record is from RNAcentral.